This is a non-coding RNA of Equus caballus (horse), 1538 nucleotides long. The record is from RefSeq and is a predicted model, not a curated record. NCBI's taxonomy places the organism in Eukaryota, Metazoa, Chordata, Mammalia, Perissodactyla, Equidae.
GAAACGAGGACACGUCAGCGGUGAAAGCCUUGACCUGGAUUCUGGGAGACUUGACACUCUCAGCAUGUGACCUUGAAUGAGUCACCUCAACUCUCUAGGCCUCAGUUUCUUCUUAUGUAAAAGGGAGGGGAGGUUAACUGUGCCUCCUAACUCCCAGGGCUGUCUUAAGGAGCAAAGUGGACAUGGAAGUAAAACGGCAUCAAGUGAGAAGGAAAUGCAAGAAGGAGAGCUGCUGGGAGUGAAGCAGACAUUGGGUUGCGCUCUCAGGAGCCCUGGAGACAGUUAUCCACGAGGAUCCUGGCGCUGAGCUGCGUGCUGGAUGGGAGGAUGGAUGAGAGGCGGCCCCUCUUCUCAGAAGCUCUGAACCUUGUGGAGAGAGCUACUGCUGGGAAGAAAGUGGUGUACACAAAAGGGCAGCAUCUCCCUCAAAGUGUGUGGCCAGAGCAGAAAGAAUAACCCAGACUUGUUCUUAAAGAAGAAUAUCCAGUGCUAACCUUCAGGAGAGAUGAAGUGGACAGAAGCCAGAUGCCGAGGGUGACAAAGUGGGCGAUGGGGUGAGAGGCAUCAGCCAUAGUGGUAAGAGCAGCAGUUACCUCGUGUGUUAAAGGUAAUGUUUGUGUACUGCGCACUUCCUAUGUGCUGGAUAUGCAUUUCAGGCCAGCUAAAUUAAUCUGCACAAGAGUCUUGCUAGAUAGGUGUUCAUGUGCCCGUUUUACAGAUGAGGAAGCUGAGGAAAUGGAGGCACCCAGUAUGGACUUUCUGAAGAUGGAAAUGGGAUGGCCUUGCCAAGUGGUGACUAUUGCACACAGCAAGAAGACUCUUGUCCUCAAUUCCUCCUCCUCCCUCUGCCUCCUGACCUCUCGGUGCCUCACGUUGUGGCCUCCAUGGUGGUGACGUGCCCCCUUCCUUUGGGAACUGUGAGUAACAAACUGUCUUUGCAAUGGCAAUCGGCUUCUGGUCUGAUGGUCUUACAAUAUCACAAAUUUCUAUUAAUGCACUAUAUUUUAAAACAACUCCUUUAUUUAUGAACCCUUUUUUUGCGCUCUCUCCAUAUCAGGCACUGUGCUCUUUGGAAACAAUCACCCACUUCCUCCUCAGAACAGCUCAGUGAGGCAGGUACUAUCCUCAUCCCCAUUUUAGAGAGGGGAAACGAGGCACAGAGUAGUGAAGUAAAAUGCCCAAGGACACACAGCUAGUAAGUGGAAUCCACACACUUCUGCCCCAGAGUCGAUAUUAAUCUUCUGCUAAGCCACUCUCCAUGAUUUGGCCACAUUCAGACUAAUAUCAAGGGGAACAGAAACGGAGCUCUCUAAAGUCCGCAUCUGGGGGCGUCAGGUUAGCUGGUGACCUCCUGCGUGCAGCACUGGUACCUGAGUUUGGGUGUUUAUCCUCCCCUGAACAGGAUGGUCUGGGCUGGGCGAUCCAAGUCUCAGGGCAGCUGCUGCAGAACCCGACCUGUCACACCUUUGUCCUGUAUGUGUGUCCCUCAUCUCAUCCCAGGACCAGCAUUUCCAAUGUGCCCCCCAUUUGUAUUUCAG